RNAcentral lists this long non-coding RNA (3527 nucleotides) under Cervus hanglu yarkandensis (Yarkand deer). Its description in RNAcentral is "lncRNA (ENSCHYG00000017988.1)". Lineage: Eukaryota; Metazoa; Chordata; Mammalia; Artiodactyla; Cervidae. The record is from RNAcentral.
GGAAACAGAAAAUCAAGAUGUUAAUAACUCGGUAAAGAUCAGCAAUUUGAGAUUUAAACUGAGCCUCAUUUCAGAGGUUAUUAAGUAUAAAAUAACAAGUGAUUUUCUCUUAUAUGUUACCGAAGAAAUAAUCUGUAGAACAUCAAAUGUUAGCUUUCUUAAACUAACUUUAAUCAUCACACCUGGAUCAUUGAAUUUCAAGCCUGACCAUAGUGGAAAUACCCUUUGUCUAAAGGACUCUUUUUUUUUUUUUCAUACUCUUUCAUAUGAUUUGGGGGUGGAGGUAUGAUGCUAAAAAUCAGCGAUCCCAACUCCUCUUGAGAUUGGUAGAGAAGUGUUGGGUUGCUAUAGUGACCUUCACCCUUAUUAAGACAUUUUAAAAUUCAAAGUUAGAAUUUACCCAUCUGUGCUUUUCUCUUAGUAAUAUUUUAUCCCUUUUAUUUUUCUCAAAACGUUCCUCCUACAACAACUUAUCUGGAAAAAACAUUUUAAAAAAUUUUAGUUUAAACUUUGAAUAUCUCAUCUCCAAAUCUAAUGCAUUAGUAAAUUAGCAAUAACAUGGCAUUUCCUUAAAGAGCCAAGCCAUCAAGGCAUUUCUCCAACAGACUCCUCCAGCCACUCCCUUAGAGUCAGCAGUGUUACAAAAGAUGACCCUCCUUCCUAGAGGUUUCAUUCUGAAAAAGCAAUUUUUUGUAAGCCUAGUUCAGAGUCAGCCUGUGAGAUGGAAUGUCUAUGCCAUGUGCUGGAACAAAGAUAACGCUGCAAGGACUGCCCACUUUCUCUACUCUCAAGGCUGCUUAAAGUCCUUACUUAGGCCUUUGAUCUCUCCUGGGAGUCUUCGAACUAGGCAGAGGCCAAUGUCUUCCUCAGCUGUCUUCUCCACAAAUUCUUCCAGCAGCUUUGGCAGGGCCUCCUGAGUGACAGCGUCUUCUCAGGCCGGGAGCCGAGGGAAAGCUCCCCGGACCUGCGUUUGCGAGUCUCUGCUCUGGAGCGCUAAGGGCACGCACGGAGCCCGAACUGAUUGGAGAAGGAAACAAAUGGAAUUCACCUCUAGGAGCUCAAGCCCUCCAGAAGGGGUGCCUAGUUUCCAAUUCUGUGUGACCUGGGGCAAAUGACUUGCUCCCCGAGCUUGGCUACCUUCUCUUAACAAUGGGUCCAGUGACAGUUGCCAGAGAAUUGUUGAAAGUCAUAACUGAGUGCAUACAUAGCAAGUGUUGGGAACAGGGCUUCCCAAGAGAAAACAAGUCAUAAUUGUUUGGUUACAAAUAUCCCAUGCUUAACAACUUUGGGGACAAAGGACAUUAGAUGCUUUGUGGAAAGAAAUCACCUGAAAGGCAAGCCAGAAGCAUAACUUCUAUCUUCCACUUAAACUUGAAGGAGCAAAUUUAUUUGUGCCCGAAUCUUAAGUUUGUGAACAGGUCUGUGUUAGCUUUGGGCGGUGUGUGACAGUGUGGACUACAUAGCCAAAGAAAGUGCUUCUGUUGCUGCUGACCAGAACCUGUGGUGCCUGGAUGAGAAUAUCUACCCACUACUGUGCUUCCGAGGCGGCAACGCGCACGCUUUGGAGGGUUUCCACUCCCCUGGAUGGGUCCUUUAGGAACUCAAUUCUUUUAUCUGGUGUGGCCCUGGGUACCUAUUCAUUUCAAAGACAUCUACUUGUUAACAGUUCUAAAAAUAAGGUGCAGAUGAAUUCCCACUGCCCAUUGGUAUGAAAAGGAGCCAGAUUUUCAAGGGCUGGUGGUGGAGGUAGUGUCUUUGUCUUAGAGACCACAGAACUUGGGAAAGGGGACAGCGGCAGGCACGUUUGUAGCAAACUUCGGUGACUGACAUUAUCCUACCCCUGAUUUCUGGGGCCUUCACUGUGGAGAGCAGAUUUCACCCUGAGAAAGUUAAUACUUCUUUGGCCCCUGAAGAUGGGGAAAUCUGCCUGCCAGGGUUGCUUUCGGGAAAUAAUUUUAGAAAAAUGUAAUAGAAAAGAAGGUCUCCUCAGCCCCUGUUAAUUUGGAGUCACAACAGUUUACUGGAUUCUGUGACACAAGAUCAAGGUGCAAACUCACUUCUUUUAUGAGUCCACAAGCCUGGUCCAAAACCUCAGAAAAUUCAAGUCUGUUUGUGUAGAUAGACCUUGAAGUAAUAGUUUUUCCCCAUAUAUAAAAACUAUCCUCCCCCCACCCUCUACCGCAGGUGAUUUUGAUAGUGAAGUCAGGGUGGAGGGGGAUUGACAAAAGCUGAUUAAUAGGUUCAUUGUCACUUAAAUGGAGGCCCUUCCCUCUCGCCUUCUAGCCACAAAGUUUCAAAGACCCUGCUGUGAUUGCUUUUCUGUAAGGCUUUUGUCGCCAAAGUGUGUGAAGUUACCCUGGUCGAAGGAGUUGGAAAUUUUACACGAGCCAAGAAAGAUUGCCCUGCCGGCAGCUGGGACGCAUCUGUAACGGUGUUAGUUUGCCUGAAAGCAGAAAAUUAGCGACCCCGAAGCCCAGCUUGGCUGUUUAGACUGUCGAAAUGACAGGGCGGGGCAGAAAGAGGGAGAAGGGAGACGAGCCCUUGGGAAGGAGUUCAUCAUCUAAAACCCGGUUUCUUAGAACACAAAUCUUAGAGACGCAGUCAGGGUGGAUCUUCCGCCUGCUCAGGUUCAUCACAGGAGGAGGCGCUCAGCAAACAGGCGCAGAAGCGGGAAAGAGAGGAAGCCGGGUGUGUUCCUGGUCACCUGGCCCUGCUAUGCCCACGCCCUUCAGAUGAACAGAGAAAAAACUCAGAGCGAGCUGUUUUUGGAGAAAAGGAACCUCCCAGGUUACCCCCAAAUAACACAGAGACUGUUAAUGGCAAUCUGAUGAGAAACAAAACAGAUUUAAAAAAAAAAAAAUCUAGGGCCACUUCAUUAUUGAAAGUGCCACUUCAAGUUUUUAGCAACUGUUAUUUGGCCUACUGGCUGAGAAAAUUCCUGACACAACUGAAGUUCACGAAAAAGAGAAAUACCUGAAAAUAAAGUUGAUCACUCAUGUCUCGCAUUGGGAAGGCGGGUCCGCGUUUGGUGUCAACUGAAAUGGGGAGUUCUAUUUACUGAUUAUCUUUUUAAAUGUGAGAGCAAUUGUACGAAGUUGGAUUUCCUUCGUUCCUUUUGUCUGUGACACCCUCUAAGUGUCCCUUGGUUUAGGUAACCGAAAGAGUGCAAGUAAGCGGACUGGGGCGCCAUCACCUCCGCCCCAGCAGAAACGCAGUAAAACCAUUAGCGUCAAAAGGGGCAGUAAACAGCAAACUGUCUCUAGAGAAAAGGCGGAGGUUUGCCCAGACAGCCCCGGCGGGGGUUGCGGUGGGAUAUGCUAAUAGUGCGGGGCCACAGGGGCCGGCCUCCCUCCCCCAAGAAUAUAUAAAGAGCCCCAACCCCAGCGCGGCAGACCCAGGCCGCCAGGCGUCUGCCCUUGCUAAUUACCAGAGACACCGACCAGGGAGCUCGGCCCGGGAUUUCCCUGCCCUCAGCGGCGCCAGGCUCCGGUUUCUGCCCUAUCUAUCUCGCUGCUGUCCAGGCCCAC